This 230-nucleotide ribosomal RNA is filed under the name uncultured bacterium. Its description in RNAcentral is "partial 16S ribosomal RNA". It matches the Rfam family "Bacterial small subunit ribosomal RNA", at positions 563 to 791 of the family's 1533-position model. The record is from RNAcentral.
AAGCGUGCGCAGGCGGUAAUGUAAGACAGAUGUGAAAUCCCCGGGCUCAACCUAGGGAACUGCAUUUGUGACUGCAUUGCUGGAGUGCGGCAGAGGGGGAUGGAAUUCCGCGUGUAGCAGUGAAAUGCGUAGAUAUGCGGAGGAACACCGAUGGCGAAGGCAAUCCCCUGGGCCUGCACUGACGCUCAUGCACGAAAGCGUGGGGAGCAAACAGGAUUAGAUACCCCUGU